UGAAGGGAUGUUGGUGUUAGAAGCUCCACCCUUUGUUUUAGGGUUGUGCACUUGAUUGAGUUCGGAGUGCUAAGUGCUGAAGCCUAGGCCUAGCUUGACUAAUACUUGGGCUAGCACUUGUUUAAAGAUACUAAGCCAGCCUCAUUAACUGGUCCAGUUAUUGUUUUGGACCGUGGCUCAUUAAUGUUCUGCACAAUUCUGUCUGGUCGAUGUAGAAUGGAAGGGCCGUCAAAAACUUAAAUCAAAUAAAAAAAAUAAAAUGUUAAGAUUCAUGCUCUUCCAGUUGCGCCUUUAAAGGGCCGCAAAUGAAGACAAAAACGUAGGCUUCAAUUCACUAUCACAUGCUCUUUUGCUAAUCAACUGGCCCGUCCAACUACGAUAUUUUUAGAGUAGGGUCUUAUAUUGUCAGAUAAUUAAAAUUCAAUGUUGAUCAUUUUGAGGACGUAGGAUUAGAGCUGGCAAAAUUUGACACGAUCCGAUUACCCGACACGAACACGACAUAAAUAAAUGGGUAUGGGUCGUCAAAUUUAACACGAUUAUUAAAUGGGUCGGGUCCGGGUCAACACGAUUUUUUUCCGUGUCGGGUUUGGGUUAAAAUUCUUGACCCAUUUACCCGAUCAAUGACCCGAUUAUAUUUUCUAUUUUAAAAUAAUUUACAUAUUCUUAUAAUUAAAACUCAAAUAUUAGAGAUGAUUUUCUUUUUUUUAUUCUUUAAAAGGGUGAAUAUAAACACAAUGUUUUAUUUAUAAAAUUUUACAUACAUUUAGAGUUUCAAUAGUGUAAAUGUGUAAAAAUUGAUAGACAUGUAUAUUUUAUAAUAUUGAUAUAUAAUAUUAUAUAUAUAUAUAUAUAUAUAAAAUUAAAACCUCAAUAGUGUACAUGUGUAAUAUAUUGGUAGAUAUGUAUAUUUUAUAAUAUCGAUAAAUUAUGUAUGUAUGUAUGUAUUUAUGUAUUUAUGCACACACGUAUGUAUGAUAGUGUGUAAAUAUUUGAUAUAACUUUUGUUCAAUAUAUAGAUAUUAAACGGGUUAUUGGGUAACCCGAUUAUUUUUCCGUGUCGGGUUUGGGUCUCAAUAUUUUGACACGAUUAUUAAAUGGGUCGGGUUUGGGUCGACCUAAAUUUGACACGACACGAAGCUGACACGACACGAACACGACCCGAUGACCCAUUUUGCCAGCUCUACGUAGGAUGGAGCCUUCCGAGCGUAAUCAGAGCCAUUGGUUGGUGGCAUCAUUCUCAUACAAGAUCAACUGAUAUAAUCAUAAGUAAAUAAAAAUAUUGACUCUCUCUUUAUUUUUUUCCCCCCUAAAAUCUAUCUUAGGCAAAUAUCCUAACACUUAAUUUGACUUUAUUCAUUGAUACCCAUUAAUUCAGAUGAUUAAGCGUUAAAAUCUAAUUUUUAGUGUUUGGUGAAU
Molecule: long non-coding RNA, 1416 nt
Filed under: Citrus x clementina
Lineage: Eukaryota; Viridiplantae; Streptophyta; Magnoliopsida; Sapindales; Rutaceae
Description: Citrus clementina (C. clementina) long non-coding RNA (CCLE_LNC005823)
Source: RNAcentral